CGCACGGGUGAGUAACGCGUAUCCAACCUGCCGUCUACUCUUGGACAGCCUUCUGAAAGGAAGAUUAAUACAAGAUGGCAUCAUGAGUCCGCAUGUUCACAUGAUUAAAGGUAUUCCGGUAGACGAUGGGGAUGCGUUCCAUUAGAUAGUAGGCGGGGUAACGGCCCACCUAGUCUUCGAUGGAUAGGGGUUCUGAGAGGAAGGUCCCCCACAUUGGAACUGAGCCACGGUCCAA
This 235-nucleotide ribosomal RNA is filed under the name uncultured bacterium. RNAcentral's name for it is "partial 16S ribosomal RNA". It matches the Rfam family "Bacterial small subunit ribosomal RNA", at positions 99 to 334 of the family's 1533-position model. The record is from RNAcentral.